Molecule: ribosomal RNA, 594 nt
Filed under: uncultured eukaryote
Lineage: Eukaryota
Description: bacterial SSU rRNA
Rfam family: Bacterial small subunit ribosomal RNA
Source: RNAcentral
GCUAAUACCCCAUAUGCUUUCGAGUGAAAUGGAUUUAUCCGCCUAAAGAGAAGCUCGCGGCUGAUUAGCUUGUUGGUAAGGUAAGAGCUUACCAAGGCGACGAUCAGUAUCUGGUUUGAGAGGACGAUCAGACACACUGGAACUGAGACACGGUCCAGACUCCUACGGGAGGCAGCAGUGGGGAAUUUUCCGCAAUGGGCGAAAGCCUGACGGAGCAAUACCGCGUGAGGGAAGACUGCCUAUGGGUUGUAAACCUCUUUUUUCAGGGAGGAAUAAAAUGACGUGUACCUGAAGAAUAAGCAUCGGCUAACUCCGUGCCAGCAGCCGCGGUAAGACGGAGGAUGCAAGUGUUAUCCGGAAUCACUGGGCGUAAAGCGUCUGUAGGUGGCCUAAUAAGUCAACUGUUAAAUCUUGAGGCUCAACUUCAAAAUCGCAGUCGAAACUAUUAGACUAGAGUAUAGUAGAGGUAAAGGGAAUUUCCAGUGGAGCGGUGAAAUGCGUAGAUAUUGGAAAGAACACCGAUGGCGAAAGCACUUUACUGGGCUAUUACUAACACUCAGAGACGAAAGCUAGGGUAGCAAAUGGGAUUAUAUA